AGAGGGUUCGGCCCUCGGCGAACUGCUCCNUAACACGUGGAUAAUUUGCCCUUAGGUGGAGGAUAACCUCGGGAAACUGAGAAUAAUACUCCAUAGAUCCAGGAUACUGGAAUGCAUUUAGAUUAAAAGCUCCGGCGUCUAAGGAUAAGUCUGCGGACUAUCAGGUUGUAGUCAGGGUAAAGACCUGAUUAGCCUACAACGGAUACGGGUUGUGAGAGCAAUAACCCGGAGACGAUAUCUGAGACACGAUAUCGGGCCCUACGGGGCGCAGCAGGCGCGAAACCUUCGCACUGUGCGAAAGCGCGAUGAGGGGAUCCCAAGUGCUUGCUCGUAAGAGUAAGCUGUUUUUAUGUCUAAAAAGCAUAGAGAGUAAGGGCUGGGUAAGACGGGUGCCAGCCGCCGCGGUAAUACCCGCAGCUCAAGUGGUGAUCAUUAUUAUUGGGCCUAAAACGUCCGUAGCCGGUUUGGUAAAUGCCUGGGUAAAUCGUGUAGCUUAACUAUACGAAUUCCGGGUAGACUGCCNAACUUGAGACCGGGAGAGGCUAGAGGUACUCCUGGGGUAAAGUGAGAUCUGUAAUCCUAGGGGGACCCCAGUGGCGAA
This 601-nucleotide ribosomal RNA is filed under the name uncultured euryarchaeote. Its description in RNAcentral is "bacterial SSU rRNA". It matches the Rfam family "Archaeal small subunit ribosomal RNA", at positions 61 to 670 of the family's 1478-position model. The record is from RNAcentral. Lineage: Archaea; Methanobacteriati; Methanobacteriota.